RNAcentral lists this non-coding RNA (1006 nucleotides) under Pan troglodytes (chimpanzee). The record is from RNAcentral. Lineage: Eukaryota; Metazoa; Chordata; Mammalia; Primates; Hominidae.
CUUCAUUGAAGACCUAAGUUGCCCCUCCCAGGGUUGGGUUGAUGUAGCUCAACCCAAGUGCUGCUUGGAGCUAAGGAGGAUCAGGACUGGAUGCUGGAGAGCAGAGAUGAAGAAUAUCAACUAUGGCCUCAGGGCCAGCAGGGAUGCUGGUUUUUCCUCGGCUAAUAGCCAUUUGCAACAGGGUCAAGAUUUAUGCCAGCUGGAAUCUCACAGGAUAUCAGUCACAUUGCUUUCUUCUAAGCAAUUGCUUACCCUUACAAGAAAAGGAGCAGGAACAUUGAAAGGAAAAUGACAUAUUUAGCUUAGGGUUCUGCAUGACAAAUGGCUCUUGAUAACCUUCCCCCAUCAAUUCUGGGAGAGUAGACAAAAGCAAAGAAAACAAAUUGACUACAGACAUCGACAUUCAUCCUACUUGAAGAGAGAACCAGUCUGUGUGAAAAACAGAGUAAACUUCAAAAGAAUCCAGCAAUUGCCCUGAACUGACCCAUAAAGAGAAAUUAGAAAUCGAAAGUUGAAAAUUAGGAAGCUCAAGAGUGAAUCUGAGGACUGAUGUGCUCCACACAUUACCUUCAAGACUGUUUAGUUUAAACAAAGUAUAGCUCAUUUCAAUAAAUGGACAAUGGUUGGAUUCUGCUUCAUUAGUAGUCAAUCUCAAUGAAUCUGUUCCACAUAUUACCUUCAAGGUUAUUUACUUUUUCUUCUCCAGGACACAGUGCUUAGAAAAAUCAAAUAGAAAAGCCACCAAGCUUACCAUUUCAACCAAGGAUAAAUAUAAGAACAUCCCAGCAGUGACUGUGAAGAUCCAGUCUUGAACACAUGGAUCAGCUGACACGGAAAGGCCAAUGUAUAAUCCCAUGAAGGCAGUUAGGGAGCUUAUAAAAUUCAUCAGGAUGGCAGUCUUCAUAGAAAGUCCAGAGCUUAAGAGCACGGCAAAGUCUCCUGAAGUUUAAGAGGAAAGGAAAAUAUAAUUAUCAUUUAAUGGAAGAUGCCUUUGCUAAAGUAACGC